Numida meleagris (helmeted guineafowl) is the source of this 3185-nucleotide long non-coding RNA. RefSeq lists it as uncharacterized. The record is from RefSeq and is a predicted model, not a curated record. Lineage: Eukaryota; Metazoa; Chordata; Aves; Galliformes; Numididae. The transcript has 3 exons.
AGCCGGGAGCCGCCUCCCUCCGGGCCCCGCCCGCCUCGCGGGUAGAGCGGCUGGCCGCGCGCGGGGCUCUGCGCGCCUCAGGGCGUUCCGCGGGCGGAGCUUAGGUUCGGUGUAACGAGAGCUCAAAAAUACAGCAGGUCUUUUUCGAUUUCACAUAUGGUUAUAUCAAGACUGAUAAUGUGAUGGAAGAAGCAAAAAUGGGAAGAGACUGAGGAAACUGCAGUGAAGUUAUUUCUGUAGAUCAGAGCUUCUCAAACUGCAGAAGACGGCGUGUUCCUUUCCCCUGAAGACAUCAUAUGUUAACUCAAGCUUUCAACUUUAUGGAGGAUGGGGAGAAAAGGUCAUAGAAAUUAUUAGCCAAAGUGACCUUUCUGAUUAAAACUCAUCUGACGGGAAGGGAAGCUUUACUGCAAAAUUGUCCGUCAGAAUAAUUACAUUUGGAGGGGUUGCUAAUUAUAACCAAAAUUACUUUAGACAGUUUGGGGAAGAGACUGAGGCUUUGCUGCUUAGCAUAAAGCAGUUUUAUUUACACAUUCACAAAGUAGCUUACAUCACUACAGGAUUAGAUUAAUUGCAAUAUUUCCCUGCAAAUUGUUGUGGAAAUGGUGUCAUGCAAUGGUGAAUCAGAACUGGUAAUUCCAAAAAUAGCAUUUCUCUCUCUGUUUCUUAAGCAGAAUGGAAAAAGUCCAUUUCUGCAGAUCAGGCCUGUCCAGCAACAUUCAUUUCUACCUUCAGUUUGCUCAAGUGAGUUUCUCAAGAUUGGGUUUUGAUAUUGUUUUGCCUAAGUGAGUUUUGCUAACAUAGCUUAUUGUUUAGUAGAAGAGUUUUCUCCAUGCUAAGAUGGCCUAAUGAGGGAGAAUUAAAAAACUCCAUUGCAUAUGUAUGUUACACAUAACAGGAAAGUUAACUCUAUUAGAGCCAAAAAUGGUGAAUCUCAAAUCGCACUAGUAUGAUAAUUGUUUUAAAAAUGGAGAAACAGAGGCACAAAGAGGUUAACUAACUUGCCUCAGAUUGCCUGCAACACAAAGUAGGAGAUAAGAAUUAUUUACUUGCUGUGGUGGUUUCACUCUGAUGGGCAGCUGAACUACACCACAACUGCUCUCUCACUCCCCCUCUUCAAAAAAGAUGAUGAAAAAACGCGAUGAAAAAGAUUUCAAGGUUGGAGAUAAGGACAGGAAGAUCCCUCACCAAUUACUGUCAUGAGCAAAACAGACCCAAGGAGGUUAAUAUAAUUUAUUUCCUAUUACAGACAGGGCAGUGAGAAACUAAAAGCAAACUAAAAACACCUUUCUCCCUCAUCUACCCUGUUCAACCUCCUCUCUGAGCAGAGCAGGGGAAUGGGGGUUGCUGUCAGUCUGCAACGCUUCUUUCCUGCUGCUCCUUCGUGGUCACUCUCUGUCCCUGUUCCAGCAUGGGGUCCAUGCUGUCCUUCCCAAACUGAUCCUGUGUGGGCUUUCCACAGGCUGCAGCUCUUCAAGAGCUGCCUGGAGCACCUCCUGCCCUCCUUCUCCACUGACCUGCGUGCCUGCACAGCUGUUUAGUUUUCUCAUUCUGUUCUCCCCAGCUGCUGUUGCACAGUAGUGUUUUUUCCCCUAAAUCUGCUCUCCCAGAGGCACACCAGCAUCGCUCGUUGGCUCAGCUCUGGGCAGUGGUGUGUCCCUUUAGGAGCUGGCUCUGAUCUGACAUGGGGCAGCUCCUGGGCUCUUCUCACAAAGGGCAUCCCUGCCAGCCCCCCGCUACCAAAACCUUGCCACAUAAGUCCAAUACGCUUGCAUUUUAUUUUCCGACACAAAUAUAACAUCCUGUAUGAAAGUAAUGGCUAUUCUGGUUACAUGGGAUAGCCUGUAUCCAGUUCUUCCAUUCUAAAGUCCAUUUGUGCUGUAGAGAAUAUGUAGGGAUUGUGAAUGUACCCGUAAGUACCAUUCCACAGUUGAACUAAUUGCCAGGCCAAGCAAGGGACCACAGUAAAUGGGUGAAUAAUUUGAUCCAAGAUGGAUUUGUACUCUACCACAUAGCCUGAAAUCUUCUAAUGCUUUGGGAUUUGACUGUGAGCUGUUCAUUGUUGUUUGAGCCUGUUAUUUUCUAUUACCAUAUUCUCUCUGGAUAUCAUUUGUGUACCUUAUCUUUGUAUAAAAGGCCACAUCUAUACCAUAUUUCUGGGGAGCAGUCAGUAGAAGCAUACAGAAUUUACUGCUGUAGACCAAAAUAUGACAGAUAAAGGUAGUGCAUUACAAAGUUCUUGCCCUCAAUCAUGCAGAAGGUUGUCUAUGCUUCUGUGAGCAGGUACAUAUGUGACUACCGUGUAAGGGGAGAAGGGUUAAUGGCAAACUAAGACAUUUUCUGCAGCAAAAGCAGAGGGAAUCUUCACUAAGCAAUUACCUUUUAUGUAAUAAACAAUGCCAUGUGUUUAGUGGUCAAUAAAGGGAGUUUUCUUGCCCUAAUCCCUUUCCAUUUAACUUAAAAUAGAAAUGCUAUUAGUUUGACUAGCAGGCUGGUGUAUUGUGAAGCCUGACCAUAGAUGUUUGGGUGUUGAAUUUACGCUGCUAGCAGAGGUGUUACUGCUGCAGCCUUUGUCUUUCCUUUCAUUGAAUAAAAUACAGUAAAAAAACUUAGGCUUGAACUUCAGUGUUGUUAGGUGCAUUUGGCAGACUUGUCUAUUUAUAUACUGCAGUUUCUUUUCAAUACAGAGUACGUUGCUUCUUAUUAGACAAUUUUAGCUUCUUUUGACUGAAAAUUGAGCUCUAAUUACUAAUGAAUGCUUUCUAAAAUAAUUUAAUCUUGAUAAAGAACAUGCAUAACGUAAUUGUUAAAUAUCUACUGGCAAGAUAGAUAGCUUGUGUUUUAACUAACCCUUAAAGGAGGUCAAGGUUUGAUAACUCACGAGAAAUGGCAAAAGCCAUGAUACGUGAUUAAAGUAAUUAAGAAUUUAAAGAUUAUGACAGAGUAUCUGUGUUUCUUUGUAGAAGCUUUGACUUUCAAGGCUUGUGAUUUUCCUCAUGAUAUGCUGAAUUUUUUGGUACAGAACAGCAACACAAAUGAAUAUUCCAUAGCUGAGAAGUCUCCAUGUUAGUUACAGGAUACAGAAAAGGCCAGAGCAUCAAGGCAGCACGCUCAUAGUUGUUUCUGUGCUACAAAUAAGCUGUGUCCAUCUCCCGUUCUUUCUAGUGAAAUGCAGAUACUGACAU